Long non-coding RNA from Telopea speciosissima, 92 nucleotides. RefSeq lists it as uncharacterized. The record is from RefSeq and is a predicted model, not a curated record. NCBI's taxonomy places the organism in Eukaryota, Viridiplantae, Streptophyta, Magnoliopsida, Proteales, Proteaceae. The transcript is spliced from 3 exons.
UUUCAGCCGCAUUAACUCAGUUGCAGUAUGAGCCAUGGCUCGAUAUUCAGCCUCAGCACUAGAUCUAGCCAUAGUUUGUCCUUUCUCUUUUC